Molecule: long non-coding RNA, 1064 nt
Filed under: Spirodela polyrhiza (greater duckweed)
Lineage: Eukaryota; Viridiplantae; Streptophyta; Magnoliopsida; Alismatales; Araceae
Description: long non-coding RNA (SPOL_LNC002238)
Source: RNAcentral
UUUAACUGUGGGUUUAAAACGCUGACCCAUGUGUAUGCGGAUGGAUCAAGGCUUGCAAUUUUCAAAUGUCAAAUCUGUGCGAGUGGAAGUGCCAUCAACUUUUAACAUGGUAAUUAUUCUUAUUGCUCAUGGAACACGUAAAGAAGAGAACUUUUUCAACAAUAGGUUUCCUUGUUCUGACAAAGUUGGAGGCUUUAGAACAUUGAUGACAAACAUUUGAUUUUCAGGUCAAUAGUUAACUUUCUAAGCAGGACACCAGUGCUGCAUUUGGCUGGGAUAUGAAUGGCAAUCUUUGAUUGCUGAACAUAUCCUUUGUGCUAACUGAAUUUCAAUAAGUGAAGUGGCAUGUAGUGUAACUAUCUACAUAUUUAUUUGCAUUUGUCCUGGUAAAUAUUGAACUGAAAAUUUAAUAAUUAAAUACAUAAACAACGAAAAAUGUAGCUAAAUAUUUUAUUUUUCUGGAAGAGUAUAAAAUAAUGACUCAAGACUUUGAAAUUGAAGCUAAUAAUUUACAGGAAAAAUAAGUUGGCAAUUUUCUCUAAUAAGAGUUAAAUAGCUUUAAACACACUCGUCCAGAAAGACCUAUGGUCAAGCAAAUCACAUGCUGCAGCAUUAGAUACCUAAUGUAUAUAUGUGCUGAAAUUUUACCCUAGGGUAUCAAGAAUUCAAGUUGGAAUUAUUGGUUAUUUGUAAAGUUCUCGUUUCAGUGAUAUAGAUUUUUGCGUUUCUAUUUUAAUACUUCAUUUUUAUGUAUAAAUCCAUCACUUCAUUUUGUCAAGUUUUUCUUUUUUAGCAGCUCUAUAUAUGGAGCCUCAUUCUCUCUAGUUUUUCACUUAUUAUGGAUUAGGACAAAUCAAUUGAUCUUCAAGAAAAGCCUUAAAAAACAUAAUAAUGGUUCACUAAAUCACAUGAUCUGUACCAGAGCAAUUGGCCUAAAAAGCUUAGUUUAGCUAAGGAAAAUGUUAUGUUUACACGUUUACAGAAUACAUAAAAAAGUAAUUACACAUUUUGUAUAAAUUAAAAAAAAUUGAGACUUUUAACAAAAUUUAGUAUGUUAACCACUC